This is a long non-coding RNA of Heterocephalus glaber (naked mole-rat), 2127 nucleotides long. Lineage: Eukaryota; Metazoa; Chordata; Mammalia; Rodentia; Bathyergidae. The record is from Ensembl.
CCAACCGCUCUCAGGCAAUGCGCGUGCCUUCGCUCUGGGCUCCCUGCCUCGCGCUCUAACCGCUCUUGAAGCUUUACUCCGGGAAGGCGCAUGCGCAAGCGCAGAGGCCUGGUUGACGGUUGGGGCCAACAUGGCGGUUGCAGAAUUCCUUACUGAAACCAGAGGUAAUGGUUAUUCUGACCCACCACUUCCGCAGUAUGUUCCUGCACCUUCCCCUUGUGCCUGCCCUUGAGGUAUUGGCAUGUGUGUGUCCUGGGGGGCAACACUCCCUCCUGUGCCCCGGGCCCCUCUCUAGCUGGCCCUCGGCUUUUCCCAAGGCCGUGGGUGAAGCCCCAGGCCGGGCCCCAGUCCCUGUUCUGCGGUCCGAGGCUGGGCGGGACGGGGACACCCAGGGAUGUGGUGGAGCUUGACAGCGCGUCGCGUCUGUGUCCCUUCCAUGCGCCGUGAUGCAGAAGCCCGAGGAACACUUCUCGUGUCUGAAAAGCGUCGUCCAGCGCCUCAGAGAAGUAGCUCCUGUCACUGAAAAGAAACUUGAAAUGUAAGCAAAAGUAUCAGCCACCAUUCAUGUUCUUAAAUACACUCAUUUGUCAGUGAUGUCAGCAACUUUCCAAAAUUGAAUUCUACCAUUGCUGACGUGAGAUGGAGCGAGAGCCAAGAUGAACAUGGGAAAGAAAACGUCCCAUGGAUGAGAUAAUGACAACUUUUGACCUAGAGAGCCUAGACUUUUUUAUGUUGCUUCUCCCAACUUUAUUCUCAAUGAUGAAAGAUUCCAAGUUUAACCACAAGUGACUUUAACCACAAGUGUCUCUGUGUUUCUAACUUUGGUUAUGUUCAAGAUUAUGUUUAAUAAUCAUGACCAUUUUAAAAGCUGAAACUGUCAAAUUUCAGUCCUUCAGACUAAUUAUUUUUUCAGUGAGACUAUCCCAAGUAGUUUAAUCUCACUACAUGGGAGCCAGAGAGCUGCUAGGGAGGGAAGACAUCAAGUGGAAAAUAGGAAAAGCAAAAGCCAGUUUGGUCUCCCAUUAGAAGAAGACAGCCAGGGCUCAAAAGCACACUUGCUACUACAUAGUACUUUAUUAUCCACACGGGAAGUAAUCUAUUAACACUGCAACAACACACACACACAUCCUGUGUGAUUCCAUUCACGUACAGUCUUAGGAAAUGGAAGCAAAUGUACAGUGACUGAAAGCAUAUUAGUAAAUCUGUGUCUGGGGUGGGGAGGGCCAGGCCUGGAAGAAGGGGUACAAAAGCACCGGAGGCUUUGGGGGUGAUAGGCAAUUUUUAAUCUUACUUAUGUAAUGGUUUCCCACUGUACACGUGUCAGAACUUUUCCAGUUGUCCCUUUUAAAUACACAGUUUAUUGUUUCCCAGUUGCAUCUCUAUAAGUGAUAAAGAAAAUCUGCAUCAAAUCCAAGAUUGUAUCACUGGAUGUUAUGCUGGAGUCUUUCUGUAAAAGAAAUAAAAAUAUUGCAGAAACAUUGCUUUUUUUCAGUCUCUUCCCUGUUUUUCUCUUUUCCAAUGCCAUUUCCUAAAAGUAAGCCCUGUCAAGAUAUUAGGGCACAUCCUUUGCACAUUUUUAUGCAUAUCCCAUUGUGCAUUACAUUUACUUUCUUCUGUGAGUUUAGAAUAUUUCCACAAAUACUAUGAUAUUGGGAAAUUACCUAAUUUGUGAUUUUCUGCCUGCUAUACCAGCUACCAACAUUGGCUGCUCAAGUUAUGACUACUUUUCUUACAUGCCAUGAAUCUCCCUCUGCCAGAUUCCUUUUUUGUUUGUUUUUGCUAAAGCAUAUUUUUAAGAAAUCUUAGAUAUUUCUAUGCAGCUACAAAAGGUAUACAGAUGAGAGACAAACUUUCCAAUCCCACCCGGAAUGUCCAAAAGUGUCUCUUUUUUGUUUUUCACUUCUAUUUGAUCAGUAGCUUGAAUGAGAAUAGAAUUUAAGGCCCUAAAUCUUUUUCUAAGACAUUUUCUACUACCAGCCCUUUUUUCCAUUUAAGUAAUGUACAUUUUUCUUUUAGAAAUUUUAAUAACUUUGAUUAACUCCAGAUUGUCUAAAAUUGCUUUAGGAUGUGUCUAUAAUAAUUAAAAUAAUUAACUUAUAUUCUCCUUUUCUUUUAUUGACUCCUAAU